Molecule: ribosomal RNA, 253 nt
Filed under: uncultured bacterium
Lineage: Bacteria
Description: partial 16S ribosomal RNA
Rfam family: Bacterial small subunit ribosomal RNA
Source: RNAcentral
UACGUAGGUGGCAAGCGUUGUCCGGAUUUACUGGGUGUAAAGGGCGUGCAGCCGGAGAGACAAGUCAGAUGUGAAAUCCACGGGCUCAACCCGUGAACUGCAUUUGAAACUGUUUCCCUUGAGUGUCGGAGAGGUAAUCGGAAUUCCUCGUGUAGCGGUGAAAUGCGUAGAUAUAAGGAAGAACACCAGUGGCGAAGGCGGAUUACUGGACGAUAACUGACGGUGAGGCGCGAAAGCGUGGGGAGCAAACAGG